RNAcentral lists this ribosomal RNA (495 nucleotides) under uncultured bacterium. RNAcentral's name for it is "partial 16S ribosomal RNA". It matches the Rfam family "Bacterial small subunit ribosomal RNA", at positions 28 to 507 of the family's 1533-position model. The record is from RNAcentral.
GAUGAACGCUGGCGGCGUGCCUAAUACAUGCAAGUAGAACGCUGAAGGAGGAGCUUGCUCUUCUGGAUGAGUUGCGAACGGGUGAGUAACGCGUAGGUAACCUGCCUGGUAGCGGGGGAUAACUAUUGGAAACGAUAGCUAAUACCGCAUGACAACAGUUAUUGCAUGAUAACUGUUUAAAAGGGGCAACUGCUCCACUACCAGAUGGACCUGCGUUGUAUUAGCUAGUUGGUGAGGUAACGGCUCACCAAGGCGACGAUACAUAGCCGACCGGAGAGGGUGAUCGGCCACACUGGGACUGAGACACGGCCCAGACUCCUACAGGAGGGAGCAGUAGGGAAUCUUCGGCAAUGGGCGGAAGUCUGACCGAGCAACGCCGCGUGAGGGAAGAAGGUUGUCGGAUCGUAAAGCUCGGUUGUAAGGGAAGAACGAGUGUGAGAGUGGAAAGUUCACACUGUGACGGUAUCUGACCAGAAAGGGACGGCUAACUACGUG